ACGUCCACACUGUUGCUUGCUCUGUCUUGUUAGUGAUGGAAACUUAUCAGUGUGGACAAAGAGCAAUUUAUCAUCUAUAAAGGAGGCAUUUCUUUAGUUUAGAUAAUGUCUUAAAGGCACGAUGAUACAAU
Triplophysa dalaica is the source of this 131-nucleotide non-coding RNA. RefSeq annotates it as small Cajal body-specific RNA 11. The record is from RefSeq and is a predicted model, not a curated record. Lineage: Eukaryota; Metazoa; Chordata; Actinopteri; Cypriniformes; Nemacheilidae. The transcript has a single exon.